GAUGAACGCUGGCGGCGUGCCUAAUACAUGCAAGUCGAACGAACAGGCGCGGCGUUUGCUCGUUGCACGUUAGCGGCGGGCGUGUGAGUAACGCGUGUAUACUGUACCUGUCAUACGGGGAUAACUACGGAAAUCGGGCGCUAACCGCGUAGGAGCUCCCGAUCCACGUUGUUGGAUGGUGAAAGACGGCGGUGGGGGCACGUCUCGCGGCUCCUGCGCCGUAUGAGGUAGUUGUUAAGUUAAAGGCUUACCAAGGCAACGAGUCGUAACCGAACUCAGAGGGUGAUCGGCCACACUGGAACUGAGACACGGUCCAGACUCCUACGGUAGGCAGCAGUAGGGAACCUUCCGCAAUGGGCGAAAGCCUGACGGAGCAACGCCACGUGAGUGAUGAAGGUCUUCGGAUCGUAAAACUCUGUUAUGAGGGAAGAACAAACGUGUAAGUAACUGUGCAUGUCUUGACGGUACCUAAUCAGAAAGCCACGGCUAACUACGUG
Molecule: ribosomal RNA, 497 nt
Filed under: uncultured bacterium
Lineage: Bacteria
Description: partial 16S ribosomal RNA
Rfam family: Bacterial small subunit ribosomal RNA
Source: RNAcentral